RNAcentral lists this ribosomal RNA (232 nucleotides) under uncultured bacterium. RNAcentral describes it as "partial 16S ribosomal RNA". It matches the Rfam family "Bacterial small subunit ribosomal RNA", at positions 15 to 237 of the family's 1533-position model. The record is from RNAcentral.
GAUCCUGGCUCAGGAUGAACGCUAGCUACAGGCUUAACACAUGCAAGUCGAGGGGCAGCAUGAUUGAAGCUUGCUUCAAUUGAUGGCGACCGGCGCACGGGUGAGUAACACGUAUCCAACCUUCCGUACACUCAGGGAUAGCCUUUCGAAAGAAAGAUUAAUACCUGAUGGUAUCUUAAGCACACAUGUAAUUAAGAUUAAAAGAUUUAUCGGUGUACGAUGGGGAUGCGUU